This 497-nucleotide ribosomal RNA is filed under the name uncultured bacterium. RNAcentral's name for it is "partial 16S ribosomal RNA". It matches the Rfam family "Bacterial small subunit ribosomal RNA", at positions 28 to 507 of the family's 1533-position model. The record is from RNAcentral.
GAUGAACGCUGGCGGCGUGCCUAAUACAUGCAAGUCGAGCGAACAGAUGAUGAGCUUGCUCCUCUGACGUUAGCGGCGGACGUGUGAGUAACACGUUGAUAACCUACCUAUAAGACUGGGAGAACUUCGGGAAACCGGAGCUAAUACCGGAUAAUAUAUUGAACCGCAUGGUUCAAUAGUGAAAGACGGUUUUGCUGUCACUUAUAGAUGGAUCCGCGCCGCAUUAGCUAGUUGGUAAGGUAACGGCUUACCAAGGCAACGAUGCGUAGCCGACCUGAGAGGGUGAUGGGCCACACUGGAACUGAGACACGGUCCAGACUCCUACGGGAGGCAGCAGUAGGGAAUCUUCGGAAAUGGGCGAAAGCCUGACGGAGCACCGCCGCGUGAGUGAUGAAGGUCUUCGGAUCGUAAAACUCUGUUAUUAGGGAAGAACAAAUGUGUAAGUAACUAUGCACGUCUUGACGGUACCUAAUCAGAAAGCCACGGCUAACUACGUG